RNAcentral lists this ribosomal RNA (456 nucleotides) under uncultured bacterium. Its description in RNAcentral is "bacterial SSU rRNA". It matches the Rfam family "Bacterial small subunit ribosomal RNA", at positions 340 to 786 of the family's 1533-position model. The record is from RNAcentral.
UACGGAAGGCAGCAGUGGGGAAUAUUGCACAAUGGGCGAAAGCCUGAUGCAGCUAUGCCGCGUGUAUGAAGAAGGCCUUAGGGUUGUAAAGUACUUUCAUCGGGGAGGAAAAAACAAAACUAAUAAUUUUAUUUCUUGACGUUACCCGAAAAAGAAGCACCGGCUAACUCCGUGCCAGCAGCCGCGGUAAUACGGAGGGUGCUAGCGUUAAUCAGAAUUACUGGGCGUAAAGAGCACGUAGGUGGUUUUUUAAGUCAGAUGUGAAAUCCCUGGGCUUAACCUAGGAAACUGCAUUUUGAAACUGAAAUACUAGAGUAUCGUAGAGGGAGGUAGAAUUCUAGGUGUAGCGGUGAAAAUGCGUAGAUAUCUGGAGGAAUACCUGUGGCGAAAGCGGCCUCCUAAACGAAUACUGACACUGAGUGCGAAAGCGUGGGGAGCAAACAGGGAUUAGAUACC